Molecule: ribosomal RNA, 124 nt
Filed under: Danio rerio (zebrafish)
Lineage: Eukaryota; Metazoa; Chordata; Actinopteri; Cypriniformes; Danionidae
Source: RNAcentral
CUUUACAAAUGCCACAGCCAUCACCCUACAGCCCAAUACUGGUUGCUAACUGAAGCUAAGCAGGUCUGUGCCUAAUCAGUAUCUGGAUGAGAGACCACAUGGGAAAACUUGUUCUUGGAAGAGG